Long non-coding RNA from Quercus robur (English oak), 470 nucleotides. RefSeq lists it as uncharacterized. NCBI's taxonomy places the organism in Eukaryota, Viridiplantae, Streptophyta, Magnoliopsida, Fagales, Fagaceae. The transcript is spliced from 3 exons. The record is from RefSeq and is a predicted model, not a curated record.
UAUGAUAUGUCCAAAGAAUUCGAAGAAAGUUUAGAUUGCGAGGUGGGACCCUGUUACUGGAUCGUUGAACAUAUACCAGUCAUUUUUUUUAUGUUACAAGGUUGGCACACAAUAUGACACGCCGUUCCAAGCAUUUGGAGAGGUCAAGAGCACAAAUAAUCAACCAAAAUGAUGAUCAUAACACCAACGAUAGCAGCAAUAUCGAUGCUUCCGUAGAGAAAGGGAAACAAUCAAGUUCUACUCAGUGAUGCUAAUCCAAAUCCAUAAAGUACAGACUUGGAUGGAGGGUGAAGAUGUAAUUGUCGCUGCAAGGACAAGUUGGAUUUAUUUUCUCCAGACUAUCUAGAGAAUCGGUGAUUUUUCUUGUAACACGUUUGUAAUUGUGCCCAGUAGUUUUCUUUCAUUGUUGUUUCUAUUUUCCUCAGUACGAUUGCAAUCACCUCGUAAUUGAUUAUUAUUAUUAGAAAGUA